GACGAACGCUGGCGGCGUGCUUAACACAUGCAAGUCGAGCGGGGGUCCAACCAGUGGCAACACUGGGGAAGGCCUAGCGGCGAACGGGUGAGUAACACGUGAGCAACCUGCCCCGAAGUUCGGGAUAACACCGGGAAACCGGUGCUAAUACCGGGUGCCCCCACUCUGACCGCAUGAUCGGAUGAGGAAAGGACUAUGUCUAAUAAAC
RNAcentral lists this ribosomal RNA (208 nucleotides) under uncultured bacterium. RNAcentral describes it as "partial 16S ribosomal RNA". It matches the Rfam family "Bacterial small subunit ribosomal RNA", at positions 28 to 215 of the family's 1533-position model. The record is from RNAcentral.